Molecule: long non-coding RNA, 768 nt
Organism: Mirounga angustirostris (Northern elephant seal)
Lineage: Eukaryota; Metazoa; Chordata; Mammalia; Carnivora; Phocidae
Exons: 3
Source: RefSeq, a predicted model, not a curated record
CUGCGCCACUGGCGGGUGCCUGGGUCCUGGUCCCGGCUUCGGUGCACCAAGUAGGCCGGCCUGGUGAGAAGUGUUAGAAGUUCUCGAGAGAGUGGGAGCUCUUAUCAGUCGGAAACUCAUAAAGAAAGGAGAAGGGGCGGAGAGGGAAUAAAUGAAGAUAUUUGAUCCCCUUGCAAAACUUUUGGCCUUUGAACUUGAACGUGGAGCUUUACUCCAUCAAGAAUAUGAUUUUCUUGUAGUGCAUUCUGAAGUUCUUCUGAAGAAAACUGAAUCCAACCCAUACCUCUGUGAAAUCCAGUCUCUUUGUCAAAAGCAACUUGAAUAUAUUGGCCCACUGCCUUCUGGGCUCCAAAGUUUCUGAUGAGAAAUCUGCUAGUAAUCUUACUGAGGAUCUCUUGUACACAACGAGUCACUUCUCUUCUGCUCCUUUCAAGAUUCUCUUCACCCAGCCAGAAUUACUCUGAUUAUUAUUUCCCAACGAACACGGAAGGUAUCACAGGCUCCCUCCACCGCUGCAGCCCUGACUGCCUCCCUGCCUGAGACCAGUCCCUUGUUGGGGCGCUGAAACCCAUCUCUGCUCCAUCCAGUCCACCUGUUCCAGCAACUACCAGGAGGGUUUCUAGAAGUGGGGUGGGAGUAGGGGGGAGUUGUCCAGUGGAGUGAGUGGUUAGCUAAGAUGAUUGCCAUAGAACUGACCAGACUGACCAAAAUGGUCAUUCGGGUAAUGUCGGAUUGCUGCCCUUGGAAACAACUGACCUUUCUUUUUGA